This 129-nucleotide small nucleolar RNA is filed under the name Hippocampus comes (tiger tail seahorse). RNAcentral's name for it is "Small nucleolar RNA SNORA63 (ENSHCOG00000011759.1)". Lineage: Eukaryota; Metazoa; Chordata; Actinopteri; Syngnathiformes; Syngnathidae. The record is from RNAcentral.
UUGCAGGUCAGUUUUAAUAUAGCCUGUGUGGUGCUGUAUUGACGUUCCCCCUGCAAACAGAAAACUGUUUCCACGCUAUCUCUGUUUGUCCAAACCUCCUGACAGCCAGAGACGCAGGGUUUCAGACAC